UCAGAGUUGUGCUCCUGGAGGGGAAAGUGCUGAGGGCAGAGAAGAGGAAAGAAACUGCAGCUAGGGGUUGCCCACGCGGUCGUGGCAGGCUCUAACAGGCUGCAGAGAUGAGGGAAGCAGGCAGGAAGCUCAGAAGAAAGCCAAUCGAUGACCCUUAGAAGGAACCAGCACGAGGUUGCCUUCUAAUUCACGUGUCUCAUCAUUUCACUGAAGAUGUAUGGAACGCUUCCCCCUUUCAAAGUGUUAAGUACUUUGCUGUCAGCAUCACCAUCACAGCCUGCGAACUCGACACUAAAGAGAGAGAAGUGGAAAAGGCAAAUUUUGGAGAAAAUAAGCAGAAGGCAUGGGGACUGGAAGUUGUGAGGUACGAUGAGGCUUUUGCUGAUACAGGAAUGAUGUCCUCACCCACUGGGCCAUAGGAGUGGCCUCCCAGGAUCAAAGAACAUGGGGAGCCAGCACUGCCAGGACGAAGAAAGAGCUUCAUUACUAUGAACUUGCUUGUGGCUGGAGGAAUUGAAGUGGAGACGCUGACUCCCGUGAGCUUGGAGACUGCAGGGAUGACAACCUUAUGUUACAUUGAUGUGUUCUCAUUUUUGUUGAGUAUGACUAUACUUCUGUACAUUUUAUUUCACUCUUUAAACAUUUAUGUUCCUGUGUUAUGAUUAAUUAAGUGUAGUAAAAUG
This 683-nucleotide long non-coding RNA is filed under the name Homo sapiens (human). Its description in RNAcentral is "HSALNT0365844". The record is from RNAcentral. Lineage: Eukaryota; Metazoa; Chordata; Mammalia; Primates; Hominidae.